RNAcentral lists this long non-coding RNA (446 nucleotides) under Medicago truncatula (barrel medic). RNAcentral describes it as "long non-coding RNA (MTRU_LNC006629)". The record is from RNAcentral. Lineage: Eukaryota; Viridiplantae; Streptophyta; Magnoliopsida; Fabales; Fabaceae.
UCCACCACAAAUCAAUAUGUUUCGGUAUUUUGCAAUUAAUGUAAAACCUCUCGCAACAACAAGUUGUGUACCAGCAUCUUGAACAUUGUCUUAUACCACCUGUCUCUUAAAAUUGAAAUAAAGUGAGCAUACCAAAUUAUUUCACUAUCAAACUUGUUUCCUCAAUUUUAAUUUUCACAUUAAACAACCAACGAGGAUGUUAAUUUCAAUCCUUUCUGUAUUUCCUUCUCUUGGUAUUCCUCUUAUUUUUUGAUCUUCUUUUACUUCUGCUCCUCUUUUCAAACUUUGCCUUUUCUCCAAUUGCUUCAAAACAUAUUGAAUUUCCCAUCAAACCAUUUUCAUUUUCAACACUAUAAGGUAAUUUGUUUACAAGGAUAUCUGCAAUCUCAUGCAUGAGUGCAUCGUCAACAUCGUGUGUGACAUCCCCACAGUCAUUUUCUUUAGUU